AAAUUUAAAAAUUUUCGUGAGCA
RNAcentral lists this transfer RNA (23 nucleotides) under Etmopterus polli (African lanternshark). Its description in RNAcentral is "partial tRNA-Phe". The record is from RNAcentral. Lineage: Eukaryota; Metazoa; Chordata; Chondrichthyes; Squaliformes; Etmopteridae.